Molecule: ribosomal RNA, 441 nt
Filed under: uncultured bacterium
Lineage: Bacteria
Description: bacterial SSU rRNA
Rfam family: Bacterial small subunit ribosomal RNA
Source: RNAcentral
CCUACGGGGGGCAGCAGUGAGGAAUAUUGCGCAAUGGGCGAAAGCCUGACGCAGCAACGCCGCGUGAGGGACGAAGGCCUUCGGGUCGUAAACCUCUUUUCUGGGGGAAGAGCAAGGACGGUACCUCAGGAAUAAGUCUCGGCUAACUACGUGCCAGCAGCCGCGGUAAAACGUAGGAGGCGAGCGUUAUCCGGAUUUACUGGGCGUAAAGCGUACGCAGGUGGCUUCGUGAGUCGGACAUGAAAGCUCCUGGCUUAANUAGGAGAGGUGGUUCGAUNCUGCGAGGCUUGAGGUUGGGAGAGGGACGUGGAAUUCCCGGUGUAGUGGUGGAAUGCGUAGAUAUCGGGAGGAACACCAGUGGCGCAAGCGGCGUCCUGGCCCACACCUGACGCUGAGGUACGAAAGCGUGGGUAGCAAACAGGAUUAGAUACCCUUGUANUC